Molecule: non-coding RNA, 26 nt
Filed under: Homo sapiens (human)
Lineage: Eukaryota; Metazoa; Chordata; Mammalia; Primates; Hominidae
Source: RNAcentral
UGGCUCUUACCCUCUGAAGUGGGGCA